UGCCGGUCCCCUCGCAAUGAUCAACCGUGAACUCCGCCAGGCCCGGAAGGGAGCAACGGUAGCGGUGGUAUCAUGUGCCGGGGUGUGGCUGGUGGGG
RNAcentral lists this signal recognition particle RNA (97 nucleotides) under Gilvimarinus gilvus. RNAcentral's name for it is "signal recognition particle sRNA small type". It matches the Rfam family "Bacterial small signal recognition particle RNA". Rfam says of the family: The signal recognition particle (SRP) is a universally conserved ribonucleoprotein involved in the co-translational targeting of proteins to membranes. The record is from RNAcentral. Lineage: Bacteria; Pseudomonadati; Pseudomonadota; Gammaproteobacteria; Cellvibrionales; Cellvibrionaceae.